Molecule: long non-coding RNA, 1914 nt
Organism: Zea mays
Lineage: Eukaryota; Viridiplantae; Streptophyta; Magnoliopsida; Poales; Poaceae
Exons: 2
Source: RefSeq, a predicted model, not a curated record
CACCCCAGGUGUUUGUCGUCUUCUCGACCACGAGUGCGGACGUUAACACGUGAUAGCGGUGAAUGUAAAUGUCACUAAAUUUUUAAUCAUCUUUGUCUAUCACGAUUUUGAUAUCGUGUUUGUCUCCAUAUGUUUAAAUUGUCCUAAUUUAGUUUGCAAAAAUUCAGACUUAAGUAAUCUUCCGAAACAUCAGAUCCAAUAUCGUUUGGGUUGAGCCAUCGACGUCUUGCCCAAACUCUAACCUUUGAAAUCAGAUCUGGUUCUGUAGAAUCCAUUUUUUUUAAUUCCCUCGCGCCUGUGUCGUGCGCGUCCCUCUGCGGCCUGGCAUUGUGACGUGUGGCGAGCGUUAACCGGUGUCUGGACAGCGCACAGCCUCUCGCCCACGUAAACGAUGCGUGUCGUCGCUUUUGAAAGGAUCACAAGUUCGAUGUCAUAUCGAUCUCGCGUAUUUAUUUUGCGAAAUGUCGAGUGUUGUGUCUGUUUAAAAAUUUAUGGAUAAGGGGAACAUUAAUUUGGAAUCUCGACCCACUCUUGUGAAUUUUGACCCGAGUAAAUUUUAUUAGAAGCUCGGCGACAAGGGCGUUGAUGCGAGAUUUAAUUGGACCACGAUAAUUAAAACCGAACUGAGUAUUCGUAAUUAAUCGGUUCCACUGUCUACAACUGUGGAAAUUUGUCUGAUCCUAAAAAUACCUACCAGUGUUAGCGUAGUCUAAAAACAUUAAAAUUGAUAUUGUUUUGAUGGGUCUGUUUGCAUCUCGCUCGGAUUCAAAUCCCAGAUUUUUACUUAUUUGGGGUAUUCUAUUGGUUAAAGAUUGGAGAAGGAAAAUCUGAAUUUUCUUACCUCUAAGUGUCCAUCUCCAACUAAUCCUCAUCCUACGUAAAAAAAAUGGCUCCCAGAAAGUGUCUCUCGUAUGUUCCUUGAUUUCCUUGGAAAUUUCAUCCACCGCCAGCAUUACUAUUACGUGGCCAAAAUCCCUGAAGCGGCAUGUCUUACUCCCACACGUCCUUAUCUUCCUCUAGACUUAUCCCCAUCGUUUCUAGCUUCUAGUUUAUCCGUUGUCGGCAUUAUCUUUUCAAGAGCUGGACGCACGUCUCCAUGUUGCCUGUCGGCCUUAUCUCCAUCCCUCAUCACCUCUGCGAGCACAAGUUUUAGCGCCUGCCCUCAGUCCAGCUCGCCAGCAGCUCUCUGCCCUCCUCCCUCAAGCCCUAGCCGAGUUUUUCCAUGGUGCCCUGGAUGCCAGCCCCUUUACUCGCUGCCCCUGCAUUCCUGCUCGCCCUGCCCCCAGCCAUGGACACCGUCGGGCCACCCGUUCCUAUCUCCCCUCACCCUCAUCCUCUGGCUGCUGCCCCUUCCUAUUCCUGGUGGUUGAGUCUUCUUCCAUGGACGCCAAUAGCAGCAGCCCACUCCUUUUGUUCUCCAUGGAUGAAAGCCCAAGCAUCUGCCCCUCCCCUAGGUUUUUUACAAUCGCAGCAGCACGUCGAACCUUUGCAACCCCGGUGAGACCAGCUGCUUGCGCUAUGUUUAUUCCCCACCAAUUCCUAUAUUUGAUUAUUUACUGUAUAUGUUUGUGUGUUUGUGGUGGAGGUAAAUCCUAGGAAAUUUAGAUGAGAAGAAAGCUAUAGCGAGGCGCUUGCCAAGUGCUUGGUGAAUCGCCUCAACCGGAUGUGGUUGUCGAUCUCGCGGAGUCGAGUCGAGUUUAGUCAUGGUACGUUCAUUGAUCACGUAAUGUGGAGGACAACAACUGGAAUAAUCUCAAGAUGGGACUGAUGAAUGAACCCAAAGCUAAAUGAUCUGAUCGUGCUGGAAUGGGAGGUGCUCGCCAAGCGAGUAUCAUCUAACAACACUGACUUAGUGUUUAUCCCAGGCAAGCCCCGGUGCAUUUGCCACCCCCUUGUUGUUAUAAAACUUUUAUC